UUUACGUGGAGGCAGCAGUGGGGAAUUUUGGACAAUGGGCGAAAGCCUGAUCCAGCAAUGCCGCGUGUGUGAAGAAGGCCUUCGGGUUGUAAAGCACUUUUGUCCGGAAAGAAAACCUCCGCCCUAAUAUGGUGGGGGGAUGACGGUACCGGAAGAAUAAGCACCGGCUAACUACGUGCCAGCAGCCGCGGUAAUACGUAGGGUGCAAGCGUUAAUCGGAAUUACUGGGCGUAAAGCGUGCGCAGGCGGUCCGCUAAGACAGAUGUGAAAUCCCCGGGCUUAACCUGGGAACUGCAUUUGUGACUGGCGGGCUAGAGUAUGGCAGAGGGGGGUAGAAUUCCACGUGUAGCAGUGAAAUGCGUAGAGAUGUGGAGGAAUACCGAUGGCGAAGGCAGCCCCCUGGGCCAAUACUGACGCUCAUGCACGAAAGCGUGGGGAGCAAACAGGAUUAGAUACCCUGGUAGUCCACGCCCUAAACGAUGUCAACUAGUUGUUGGGGAUUCAUUUCCUUAGUAACGUAGCUAACGCGGAACGCCCGCUGGAUCCGGCAUCCG
This 554-nucleotide ribosomal RNA is filed under the name uncultured Paraburkholderia sp. RNAcentral's name for it is "bacterial SSU rRNA". It matches the Rfam family "Bacterial small subunit ribosomal RNA", at positions 338 to 873 of the family's 1533-position model. Lineage: Bacteria; Pseudomonadati; Pseudomonadota; Betaproteobacteria; Burkholderiales; Burkholderiaceae. The record is from RNAcentral.